AUACGUAGGGUGCGAGCGUUGUCCGGAAUUACUGGGCGUAAAGAGCUCGUAGGUGGUUUGUCGCGUCGUCUGUGAAAUUCCGGGGCUUAACUCCGGGCGUGCAGGCGAUACGGGCAUAACUUGAGUACUGUAGGGGAGACUGGAAUUCCUGGUGUAGCGGUGAAAUGCGCAGAUAUCAGGAGGAACACCGGUGGCGAAGGCGGGUCUCUGGGCAGUAACUGACGUUGAGGAGCGAAAGCAUGGGUAGCGAACAGGAUUAGAUACCCUGGUAGUCCAUGCCGUAAACGGUGGGCGCUAGGUGUAGGGGUCUUCCACGACUUCUGUGCCGUAGCUAACGCAUUAAGCGCCCCGCCUGGGGAGUACGGCCGCAAGGCUAAAACUCAAAGGAAUUGACGGGG
RNAcentral lists this ribosomal RNA (398 nucleotides) under uncultured bacterium. RNAcentral's name for it is "partial 16S ribosomal RNA". It matches the Rfam family "Bacterial small subunit ribosomal RNA", at positions 523 to 918 of the family's 1533-position model. The record is from RNAcentral.